Molecule: non-coding RNA, 94 nt
Organism: Mycena rebaudengoi
Lineage: Eukaryota; Fungi; Basidiomycota; Agaricomycetes; Agaricales; Mycenaceae
Source: the annotation of a GenBank genome assembly
UCGGGUAUGGUGCACGGCGCACGGCUCCUUACAAUUCGCAAUAGUGACCGAGUUGUCGCAGGAGCAGCCCGGGGUUCGACUCCCCGUGCCCGAA